GACUGAACCUCUGAAAGUGUAAGCCAGCCCCAAUUAAAUGUUGUUUUCUACAAGAGUUGCUUUGGUCAUGGUGUGUCUUCAGAGCAGCGGGAACCCUAACUGGAUCAGCCCCUUCUCCCUUUGCUGCCUGGCCACUUGGCAGCUUCUCUGGGGGAAAUGCUGGCUGUGUUCGCCUCUCUGCUAUAAGGCACUGCUCUGCCUUUUAACUCCAAGCAAUGUCUGGAGCUACAGCAACCUUCUUGGACAAUUAGACAACAAAAUGUAAAUGUUGGUCACCCAAUGGCUGAGCAGAAAAGAGGAGAGGAGAGUCAGCUCACAGGGAAGAUGGAGGAAUUGGGGCAACGAAGAAGGGGUCUGAAGAGUCAGAUCAAUAAUAAUACGCAAGUAUCUUAGGAUGGGGCUGGGAGGUAGAAGAUUAGCAUAGAAGUUAAGGUGCAUCUUUCAUUUAACUGCUCAGCUGUCCAGGUGCAGUCUUAAAUCUUGGCUUCUCUGCAAAGUUAUUGGGAUUAGCAUAAGGUAAAUCAAUACAGCCACUGGAUUAAUUCACUGUUUACAUUUAUAUUAGGGAUAAUUAAUUCAUUUUCAGAAUCUAACUUGCACCCGUUUCUCCUAGGACCAUGCUUAAUCUUUUGUAACCCUUGAAUCCAUUUGUGUGACUGUCACAGGGUGGUCCUACUCUCUACAAGGCCAACACAAGUGAGAACCUGUGCUCA
RNAcentral lists this long non-coding RNA (713 nucleotides) under Rattus norvegicus (Norway rat). RNAcentral's name for it is "long non-coding RNA NONRATT023653". Lineage: Eukaryota; Metazoa; Chordata; Mammalia; Rodentia; Muridae. The record is from RNAcentral.